CGGAGGAACAUCUGUGGCGAAGGCGGCUAACUGGGACUGACCUGACGCUGAGGUGCGAAAGCGUGGGGAGCGAACCGGAUUAGAUACCCGGGUAGUCCACGCCGUAAACGAUGUCGGCUCGGUGUUUGGGGAUGAGUACCAUUCCUGAGUGCCUCAGUAUACACGGUAAGCCGACCGCCUGGGGACUACGAGCGCAAGCUUAAAACUCAAAGGAAUUGACGGGGGCCCGCACAAGCAGCGGAGCGUGUGGUUUAAUUCGACGCAACACGAAGAACCUUACCCAGGUUUGACAUGCUUCUGCAAGCCCACGGAGACGUGGGACCUUAGAGGGUGAAGCACAGGUGCUGCAUGGCUGUCGUCAGCUCGUGUCGUGAGAUGUUGGGUUAAGUCCCGCAACGAGCGCAACCCUCGCUGCCAGUUACCAGUGUCUGGCGGGACAGCCGUCUAGAGAGACGGAGGAAGGCGGGGAUGACGUCAAGUCCGCAUGGCCCUUACGCCUGGGGCGACACACACGCUACAAUGGCCGGGACAGUGCGCUGCGACCUCGCAAGAGGGAGCUAAUCGCCAAACCCGGUCUCAGUGCAGAUCGGGGGCUGCAACUCGCCCCCGUGAAGAUGGAGUUGCUAGUAACCGCGUAUCAGCCAUGGCGCGGUGAAUACGUGCCCGGGCCUUGCACUCACUGCCCGUC
RNAcentral lists this ribosomal RNA (688 nucleotides) under uncultured bacterium. RNAcentral describes it as "bacterial SSU rRNA". It matches the Rfam family "Bacterial small subunit ribosomal RNA", at positions 699 to 1398 of the family's 1533-position model. The record is from RNAcentral.